ACGUACACUCCUACGGGAGGCAGCAGUGGGGAAUAUUGCACAAUGGGCGCAAGCCUGAUGCAGCCAUGCCGCGUGUGUGAAGAAGGCCUUCGGGUUGUAAAGCACUUUCAGCGGGGAGGAAGGCGAUACGGUUAAUAACCGUGUUGAUUGACGUUACCCGCAGAAGAAGCACCGGCUAACUCCGUGCCAGCAGCCGCGGUAAUACGGAGGGUGCAAGCGUUAAUCGGAAUUACUGGGCGUAAAGCGCACGCAGGCGGUCUGUCAAGUCGGAUGUGAAAUCCCCGGGCUCAACCUGGGAACUGCAUUCGAAACUGGCAGGCUUGAGUCUUGUAGAGGGGGGUAGAAUUCCAGGUGUAGCGGUGAAAUGCGUAGAGAGCUGGAGGAAUACCGGUGGCGAAGGCGGCCCCCUGGACAAAGACUGACGCUCAGGUGCGAAAGCGUGGGGAGCAAACAGGAUGAGAUACCCCUGUAGUCCCAUGA
This 480-nucleotide ribosomal RNA is filed under the name uncultured organism. RNAcentral describes it as "partial 16S ribosomal RNA". It matches the Rfam family "Bacterial small subunit ribosomal RNA", at positions 329 to 800 of the family's 1533-position model. The record is from RNAcentral.